This 255-nucleotide ribosomal RNA is filed under the name uncultured bacterium. Its description in RNAcentral is "partial 16S ribosomal RNA". It matches the Rfam family "Bacterial small subunit ribosomal RNA", at positions 524 to 776 of the family's 1533-position model. The record is from RNAcentral.
UACGGGGGGAGCAAGCGUUGUUCGGAUUUACUGGGCGUAAAGGGCGCGUAGGCGGCCAGCACACGUCAGUUGUGAAAUCUCCGAGCUUAACUCGGAAAGGUCAACUGAUACUGUGCGGCUAGAGUGCGGAAGGGGCAACUGGAAUUCUUGGUGUAGCGGUGAAAUGCGUAGAUAUCAAGAGGAACACCUGAGGCGAAGGCGGGUUGCUAGGCUGACACUGACGCUGAGUGCGCGAAAGCCAGGGGAGCAAACGGG